UCAAUUUAGUUCCCAAACACACCGCAGAAAUAAAUAAACAAAUGGCGUUGAUACAAGUUAAGCAAAAAUGGCGCAGUACUCAAAACAAAAAUACGCGCGUUGGUGUACUUGUUAAUGUCCUUGAUAAGUUUAUUUAAUCAAGAUGAUAAGUACACGUCGUUUAAUAAGCAUAAGUAUAGAUUUUGCACAAUCAUUAAAUCAUUACAUAUUACGUCUGCGGGUCGCGUCGAGUUUUGCGCGUAAUUACAUCAUUUGACUCCGGUCGAAGUUUCGGUAAUGUGUUUUUAUUAUUUAUAGACGCGGAAACUGGUUUGAAUUACGAAAAAAGUGCUUGUUUGCAUUAAGUAACGUUUUUUGGUUUGCUCGUUAGUUCUAAUAAGUGUCGAAAUAUAAAAACAGCAAGUGCGAUGUUUCGCGAUUGUUAAAAUGUGUUUUCAUUGUGAGUUACACCUUUGAUUUGCGCACAAUCAACAACUUUAUCAAUUUAUGUAUAAUGUUUAGGAUAUAUUAGGAUAUAUUAAUCAUGGAAAAGGUUUUAAACGUGAUGAAAAGUAGUUUUGUAAGUGUUUGUGCCGUUUUAUUGGAUAUUCCUGUUAAUAACUACCGCAUUACGAUAAAGUAUGCCAAGCAAAUCAAGAACUACCUCAAUUUACGAUGAUCUAAACAUUUUACGAGCUGCAAAUGUUGCGGGUUAUGUCAUUAUUUCAAGAGAAAUUCUCAUACUAUUCCUUAAAAAAAGUGUAAAGUUGAAAAUAUAAGUGAUGUUAAUGAUAAUAAUUAGUUUAUUAUUAACUUAUAAACAACUUGUCACCACAUAAUUACCAUAAUAAUUAUAUUUACCAUCAAAAGAUUUGUUAAUCUUGAUAUGAAACAUAUAUGCAACCCAAAAUACACACAUGUACAAAGCUUAUAUAA
This is a long non-coding RNA of Dalotia coriaria, 915 nucleotides long. RefSeq lists it as uncharacterized. The record is from RefSeq and is a predicted model, not a curated record. The transcript is spliced from 3 exons. NCBI's taxonomy places the organism in Eukaryota, Metazoa, Arthropoda, Insecta, Coleoptera, Staphylinidae.